UGCGCAUGCGCCCUGUGCGCGGGGCGGGGUCUGCGGGCGCUGUGCGCGCAGAUGAAGAAACCAAGGCUUUGUAACUAACUCAACCCCGCAAGGAGGACAAAACUGGCACCAGAGCACCUUACUCCUGGAUCUGGCAAGAAUGCCUCUUGUUUGCUGAGAAGUCCACAUAUUUAUCCAGCGCAAGAGUGGGAGAUGAAAGGCGACCAGGUCAGUGCUAGCCUUUCUCUGAGCUCCUCUGAGUCUGGGCAGCUGAGGUGCUCCUCCGGGAAUGUUCUGCCGUCCACGAGGCAGCGCAGGCCUGGAAGCUUUUGUUCCAUUGAACUCUGCCAGGGAGCUAUACUUAGCCACGCGAGUGGAGGCCAGGAGUGGGUUCUCUGAAUAUAGAUAGUAGCAAAGCAGACUAUUUUCAAACACUGAGAACCUCCCCGAUUGUUCUGGGCCAAAAUGAUAUUUAUAGAAUGCUUUGGGCUCCUGGACGCAAAGGCAAUAACCCUAGUGCCUUUUGGCGUUCAGGAGAGAAGCUCCUUUCAACAGGGAGUGGGGUGAGGGAUCUGCUCACCCAGAGGCCCGCCGUCCCUCAACACCUGUUUCCAGGAGGCCAGGCGUCCUCCUUACUUUUCCAUUAUGAAUCAGAGAACAGCGAGAGGCACGCGGUGCCCUGCUGAUUUUCCUUCCUGCACACCCUGUUGUGGGUCCUGUCUGAGGCCUGCCGUGUGCUAUCAGGGAAGACGUCAUCAGGGGACUUUUCCUGCUGUGAGGAGGGUGCAGCCCCUGCCUUUCAGAGCUCGGGACACCCUCUUACUCCUGUCAAGGAUCCUCAGAGAUGUCCUAGGCUUCCACUCUCAGCCAGACAUCACUGGGCCAUAACGAAACACCUACUUCCAAUGUGCGCAGGUCCUGCAGCCUCCUGUCCAUCCCUGCCCCACCUCCCACCCGGGAGAAAGACUGACAGUGUACCUGGAAGAGUUUGCUGGAAAGGCCUUCCCUAGGGAGGAGAGUGGAAAUGGGACCAGUGAAGGUUAGGGUGGGAAGAGUAGGCCUGGGUCCUGAGAGGAGGAGCUGGCCAGGCCCCGAGCCCCCGGGAGCUGUGAGCAAAGCUGAGACACCCCCUUCCUGGUGCUCAAGCUGCAGGUGUUGGAGAGGGCCCCAGAAGCCCGGAUUUUAAGUGACCGCCACAGGUUAACCUGAGGAUGGUGAGGCAGAACAAGGAGAGGCCAGGCGGGAAGCAGGGCAGGGCAGGGCUAGUGGACAGUGUCCAGGGGUGUCCUGGGUGGGGCAGGCCGCCCACACUGCCUCUGCCUUGGGCUGGACCUAAGCGGAGUGGAUCUUCCAUUCAUUACACCCCAGCCCCCCGGCAUGUGCCCUGCCUUUCCUCUGCCCCUCUCUCUGCCAACCCAUCCUCUCCCUCCCAGCCCCUGCCUGCCCAGAUAUAAAUAUAAGAGCAUUUUCCAUGGGCUGAUACAGAAGGGAAAACAUUCAGCCUUAUUUUUGGCUUGUGAAAUUCCUGUCCUUCAUUCCCAACAGGUGCAACAGCCUCAUUUAGAUAUUGGGGCCCAGAAAUAGAACACAAUUUACAAUAUAGCUUCCUUUAGGCAUCUGGAUGCUACUUGAGAAAAAAGCACUCCUGAGACAUGCCGAGACAGCGCAAACCUUGGCUGGCGCUCUUGCCUUUUUCCAGGCCGGUGGAGCCCCUCAGAGCUGGCGGCCUGACCGUGAAGCAGAGGAGGCCAGAGCUGCAGGAGAUGGGAGGGAGGGAGGGGGCCCUGGAGGACAGGCUCCUAGCCCCACUCCUCCUCAAGGCCUGGGCGCUGGCCUGUCCCCUGCCUUUGCCCUGAUGGGGAUGAGGGAGAGGAGAUUGGGUCAGGGAGCAAUUGUGGCCGUUGGGGAAGGUGACUUGGAUGCAGCGUUUGAAGGAGAUGCUGUUAGUAAAUCCCAUUGGUUAAGAUUCACUGUCCCCCAUGA
Sapajus apella (tufted capuchin) is the source of this 1962-nucleotide long non-coding RNA. RefSeq lists it as uncharacterized. The record is from RefSeq and is a predicted model, not a curated record. The transcript has 2 exons. NCBI's taxonomy places the organism in Eukaryota, Metazoa, Chordata, Mammalia, Primates, Cebidae.